GGCGUGCUUACCAUGCAAGUCGAACGGGAUUUAGUAACAGAAGCCUCGGUGGAAGAUUACUAAUGAGAGUGGCGAACGGGUGAGUAACGCGUGAGCAACCUGCCUAUGACAGUGGGAUAGCCUCGGGAAACCGGGAUUAAUACCGCAUAAAAUCGUAGAAACACAUGUUUCAACGGUCAAAGAUUUAUCGGUCAUAGAUGGGCUCGCGUCUGAUUAGCUAGUUGGUGAGAUAACAGCCCACCAAGGCGACGAUCAGUAGCCGGUCUGAGAGGAUGAACGGCCACAUUGGAACUGAGACACGGUCCAAACUCCUACGGGAGGCAGCAGUGGGGAAUAUUGCACAAUGGGGGAAACCCUGAUGCAGCGACGCCGCGUGAACGAAGAAGGUAUUCGUAUCGUAAAGUUCUGUCCUAUGGGAAGAUAAUGACAGUACCAUAGAAGAAAGCUCCGGCUAAAUACGUGCCAGCGGCCGCGGUAAU
This 479-nucleotide ribosomal RNA is filed under the name uncultured bacterium. Its description in RNAcentral is "bacterial SSU rRNA". It matches the Rfam family "Bacterial small subunit ribosomal RNA", at positions 41 to 524 of the family's 1533-position model. The record is from RNAcentral.